AUGUAGUGUACGAUAUUUGUACGCGGAAGAUAUCACGUCGCUGGAAAGGAUAACCUUUAAAUCAAAACCUCAGUUGUUAAGAGACUUUUACUAUCCACUUGGCAGCUCAAGACUAAGAGAAAUGCAAGGAUUCUUCCGGUUAGAACCUAUUGGAGCCGUUGAUAGUGAUUUAAUAAACGAUUUGGGUCUGAUCAAUGUAGAAUCACUGGGAGACCUUGAAGUAAUACUUUAUUAUAGGUUUCCAUAUUCAGAAAUCAUGUGCCCCAUCCAGGUAGGUGUUUUCUCUGUUUCUCUUUCUUCUCUCUUAUCAUCUUUUGUGGAAUUAUUUUUUGACAUUAUGGUUCAUGUGAUACAGGGAUUACAUGAAUUUGGCAUAUUUAGUACGUAUAUUCCUGUGAGCAAGGUUCCUAGUUGGUUCAAUGAUGAAAAUAGGAGGUUAUCUUCCUCGUUUACUGUGCCUUCACUUAAUUUGAGGAUCCGAGGAUUGAACGUAUGCGCUGUUCAUGGAAAAAAGUAUUCCUAUCGGGAUGUAGAUCCAACAAUUACAAAAAUCCAUAACAAGACCAAGAAUCUAACUUGGAUAUACCGUCCUGUGUACUUGGGAACUCGAGUAGACGAUAGAGACGGUGAAGAUAUUGUAUGGUUAAGCCAUUGGAAGUUUUGUAAUCAGUUGGAGGGUGGGGAUGAAGUCAGUGUUACUGUAUGUAUUGGAGAGUUUAUCCAGGUAGAGAAGAUUGGUAUCAAUCUUGUGUAUGGUGACAUAGAAGAUAAUGUGUCUGAAAAUAUUGAUGAGAUAGAGAGUGAUGAAGUCGUCGGUGGAGACUUGACAAAAUAUCAGUUGAGCACAGGAGCCUACUUCCUUGCCCACGGUAGCCAAGUAUAUCUCCUGGACGAUAUUCCACGGAGAGUAUUCGGGGACAAUGUAAAAUAUGAAGGUGUUUUUUUUUAAAUAAAUUAUUUUCUUUCAUAUCUUGACGAAAAAUAAAUAUUCUUUGGAGGUAAUAAUUUCCUAACUUGUAUGGUGGCAGAGUUAGGUAAUUGGACUUGGACAGGUCAUUCUUAGUGAGUCAAAGUACUCAAAUGAUUUUACACGGAGAGUAUUCUUUGGAGGUAAUAAUUUUAAAGGCCGAUAAUGAUUUUAUAAUUUUGAAUGGGUAAAUUAUAAUUUAUGCAAUAUUAUGUAGUUUAUUAAAAAUGAAAUAUACACCAUAUAUAUAUAUAUAUAUAUAUAUCUGUGUGUGUGUGUGUGUGUGCUCCUACUAAUUUUAGUUCAACAUGUUUGCAGCAGUUGACUCCAAGAUUGCUCUGCAAGUUGAGCAGCAGCAGUUUGACUUGUUGCUCCAAAAUUUGAUCAGCAUAGUUUGUAAUUUGAUCAACAAGUGCCCAAUGGAUUUCUUCAUCAAUAAGAAAGAGGUAGUUAGUUGCGAUAAUAGUUCCAUAAAUUACGGAAAAUUUCCAUUCUAAAUGGAUAUUUGUAUGUAUUCAACAGUAUAGAAAUAUUAUAUGAAGGUGCGAUGAUGCGUUUGGUAUUCCAGACAAGCAAAACAUUCUCACAUUAGUCAUAUAUCAUUUAAUGUGCUGAGUUAUAUAAUUCUUUUCCUAAGGACUUGAGUCAGUUAUCCUUGCUAAGGGAAUUGCUUUUGGACGAAAAUCCGAUUGAAGCCCUUCCAGAAUCUAUCGAAACUCUUCCAAAUCUUGAGUAUCUCUCUGUAAGUUCAUGUAAUAGACUACGAUCUAGGAUAGGUCUGCCAUGUAGUGUACGAUAUUUGUUCGCGGGUGAAAUCAAGUCGCUGGAAAGGAUAACCUUUAAAUCAAAACCUCAGCUGUUACGCUAUGUGGGUUUCAACUCAAGACUAAGAGAAGUGCAAGGAUUCUUCCGGUUAGAACCUAUUGGAGCCGUUGAUAGUGAUUUAAUAAACGAUUUGGGUCUGAUCAAUGUAGAAUCACUAGGAGACCUUGAAGUAAUACUUUAGUAUAGGUUUCCAUAUUCGGGGAAUGAUGAGGUGCCCCAUCCAGGUAGGUGUUUUCUCUGUUUCUCUUUCUUAUCUCUUAUCAUCUUUUG
RNAcentral lists this long non-coding RNA (2062 nucleotides) under Panax ginseng (ginseng). RNAcentral's name for it is "long non-coding RNA (PGIN_LNC013527)". The record is from RNAcentral. Lineage: Eukaryota; Viridiplantae; Streptophyta; Magnoliopsida; Apiales; Araliaceae.